CGCGGACCCCGGGCCGGCCGCGGGCGAGCACGGGGACAGGCGUGCCGGCCGGCGUGGGCUCUCCGGCUGACCACGCGGCAGACCCCGGGCCGCAGUCGCCCUGGGGUGGGGGUCGCCGGCCGACAGACAGGUGCCUGGAUUUUAUUCUUAAAUAAAUGCUCAGCCUCAGGCCUGGUUAGGCAGACAUCAGAAGAAGGCAGAUCGCAGGCCCCUCGUCCGUGGGAGCAGUGGGAUGGCCCAGGGAGGCAGAGACUCCAAGAAGAUGAUGCAGAAGGAGCACCGUGCCAUCGAGUCAUCAGCGUUCCUGCGUCUGAGACCAGCAGGUCCACCCCGCGUGAGCGCACGUCUGCCCCGAGAUGCAUUUAGCAGGAGAACUCCGGGAGCACUACGGUCUGCGCCGUGAGGGGACACGCUCAUGAGUUUGUCCGUCCACUGCUCAGUGAGAUUCAUGCUUAUCCAUAUUCAUAAACACCCCAAGAGAUAAGAGUUCUUUGGCCAGAA
This 501-nucleotide long non-coding RNA is filed under the name Cervus hanglu yarkandensis (Yarkand deer). RNAcentral describes it as "lncRNA (ENSCHYG00000020636.1)". The record is from RNAcentral. Lineage: Eukaryota; Metazoa; Chordata; Mammalia; Artiodactyla; Cervidae.